CUGUACAAGCCACUGCCUUGC
RNAcentral lists this microRNA (21 nucleotides) under Callorhinchus milii (elephant shark). RNAcentral describes it as "Cmi-Let-7-P2c3_3p* (star (passenger))". Lineage: Eukaryota; Metazoa; Chordata; Chondrichthyes; Chimaeriformes; Callorhinchidae. The record is from RNAcentral. RNAcentral also lists the same sequence under 2 other names.